UCCGUAGGUGAACCUGCGGAAGGAUCAUUAGUGAAUAUAGGACGUCCAACUUAACUUGGAGUCCGAACUCUCACUUUCUAACCCUGUGCACUUGUUUGGGAUAGUAACUCUCGCAAGAGAGCGAACUCCUAUUCACUUAUAAACACAAAGUCUAUGAAUGUAUUAAAUUUUAUAACAAAAUAAAACUUUCAACAACGGAUCUCUUGGCUCUCGCAUCGAUGAAGAACGCAGCGAAAUGCGAUAAGUAAUGUGAAUUGCAGAAUUCAGUGAAUCAUCGAAUCUUUGAACGCACCUUGCGCUCCAUGGUAUUCCGUGGAGCAUGCCUGUUUGAGUGUCAUGAAUACUUCAACCCUCCUCUUUCUUAAUGAUUGAAGAGGUGUUUGGUUUCUGAGCGCUGCUGGCCUUUACGGUCUAGCUCGUUCGUAAUGCAUUAGCAUCCGCAAUCGAACUUCGGAUUGACUUGGCGUAAUAGACUAUUCGCUGAGGAAUUCUAGUCUUCGGAUUAGAGCCGGGUUGGGUUAAAGGAAGCUUCUAAUCAGAAUGUCUACAUUUUAAGAUUAGAUCUCAAAUCAGGUAGGACUACCCGCUGAACUUAAGCAUAUCAAUAAGCGGAGGA
Molecule: ribosomal RNA, 616 nt
Filed under: Rhodotorula mucilaginosa
Lineage: Eukaryota; Fungi; Basidiomycota; Microbotryomycetes; Sporidiobolales; Sporidiobolaceae
Description: eukaryotic LSU rRNA
Rfam family: 5.8S ribosomal RNA (bases 184-337)
Source: RNAcentral